CAGUCGCCGCGGGAAAACGGAGGGUGCAAGCGUUAAUCGGAAUUACUGGGCGUAAAGCGCACGCAGGCGGUUUGUUAAGUCAGAUGUGAAAUCCCCGAGCUUAACUUGGGAACUGCAUUUGAAACUGGCAAGCUAGAGUAUUGUAGAGGGGGGUAGAAUUCCAGGUGUAGCGGUGAAAUGCGUAGAGAUCUGGAGGAAUACCGGUGGCGAAGGCGGCCCCCUGGACAAAGACUGACGCUCAGGUGCGAAAGCGUGGGGAGCAAACAGGAUUAGAUACCCGCGUAGUCCCUGUCUCUUAUAC
Molecule: ribosomal RNA, 301 nt
Filed under: uncultured bacterium
Lineage: Bacteria
Description: partial 16S ribosomal RNA
Rfam family: Bacterial small subunit ribosomal RNA
Source: RNAcentral